RNAcentral lists this ribosomal RNA (433 nucleotides) under uncultured bacterium. RNAcentral describes it as "partial 16S ribosomal RNA". It matches the Rfam family "Bacterial small subunit ribosomal RNA", at positions 29 to 507 of the family's 1533-position model. The record is from RNAcentral.
AACGAACGCUGGCGGCAUGCCUAACACAUGCAAGUCGAACGAAGGCUUCGGCCUUAGUGGCGCACGGGUGCGUAACGCGUGGGAAUCUGCCCUUUGGUUCGGAAUAACAGCUGGAAACGGCUGCUAAUACCGGAUGAUGACGAAAGUCCAAAGAUUUAUCGCCAGAGGAUGAGCCCGCGUUGGAUUAGAUAGUUGGUGGGGUAAAGGCCUACCAAGCCGACGAUCCAUAGCUGGUCUGAGAGGAUGAUCAGCCACACUGGGACUGAGACACGGCCCAGACUCCUACGGGAGGCAGCAGUGGGGAAUAUUGGACAAUGGGCGCAAGCCUGAUCCAGCAAUGCCGCGUGAGUGAUGAAGGCCCUAGGGUUGUAAAGCUCUUUUACCCGGGAAGAUAAUGACUGUACCGGGAGAAUAAGCCCCGGCUAACUCCGUG